Molecule: ribosomal RNA, 510 nt
Filed under: uncultured bacterium
Lineage: Bacteria
Description: bacterial SSU rRNA
Rfam family: Bacterial small subunit ribosomal RNA
Source: RNAcentral
AGUUUGAUCCUGGCUCAGAUUGAACGCUGGCGGCAUGCCUUACACAUGCAAGUCGAACGGUAACAGGUCUUCGGAUGCUGACGAGUGGCGAACGGGUGAGUAAUACAUCGGAACGUGCCCGAUCGUGGGGGAUAACGGAGCGAAAGCUUUGCUAAUACCGCAUACGAUCUACGGAUGAAAGCAGGGGACCGCAAGGCCUUGCGCGGACGGAGCGGCCGAUGGCAGAUUAGGUAGUUGGUGGGAUAAAAGCUUACCAAGCCGACGAUCUGUAGCUGGUCUGAGAGGACGACCAGCCACACUGGGACUGAGACACGGCCCAGACUCCUACGGGAGGCAGCAGUGGGGAAUUUUGGACAAUGGGCGAAAGCCUGAUCCAGCCAUGCCGCGUGCAGGAUGAAGGCCUUCGGGUUGUAAACUGCUUUUGUUAGGGAAUAAACCUUCUUACGUGUAAGGAGCUGAAUGUACCUAAAGAAUAAGGAUCGGCUAACUCCGUGCCAGCAGCCGCGGUAA